RNAcentral lists this unclassified non-coding RNA (240 nucleotides) under plant metagenome. RNAcentral describes it as "partial contains small subunit ribosomal RNA and internal transcribed spacer 1". The stretch from base 1 to 46 matches the Rfam family "Eukaryotic small subunit ribosomal RNA", at positions 1786 to 1831 of the family's 1831-position model. The record is from RNAcentral.
AAGUCGUAACAAGGUUUCCGUAGGUGAACCUGCGGAAGGAUCAUUAAAGAGUUAGGGUCCUAGUGGCCCAACCUCCAACCCCCUGUUGUUAAAACUACCUUGUUGCUUUGGCGGGACCGUUCGGUCUCCGAGCGCGUUAAGUCCCAUCCGGGUUCGGGCUGAGCAGCCCGCCCAGCAGUCCAACCAAAACAUCUUGUAUUAAACCAGUCGUCUGAGUAUAAAAUUUUAAUUAAAUUAAAA